This is a long non-coding RNA of Felis catus (domestic cat), 2959 nucleotides long. RefSeq lists it as uncharacterized. The record is from RefSeq and is a predicted model, not a curated record. The transcript has 3 exons. NCBI's taxonomy places the organism in Eukaryota, Metazoa, Chordata, Mammalia, Carnivora, Felidae.
UGGCAAAGAAGGAGAAAUUAAACAUAGUGUAAAGGAUGUCGAUUAUUUAUUGAAAUAUUGUUCACACAUUUGUUGUAUUAGUUUUAGGCAUAAAGUGUAGUCAUUUCAUAUAUCUAUAAAUUAUGUUGUACUCAACCACAAGUGUAGCUAUCAUGUGAAAUCAUGCAACAUUAUUAUUACAGGAUUGACUCUAUUUCAUUGGCUGUACCUUGUAGCCCUAGGACUUAUUCAUUCCAUAGCUGGAAGCUGGUAUCUCUCUCUCAAACGUGUCAAUUCUUUAUCUAACCUAAGUAGUUUGGAGGUAAACACAAUUACCUCUUGUUCAGCAUGUGUAAAUAGGUGGGCUAUUUUUCUGUGACACUUGCUGCAAGCGUUACAAAUGAUGUCAUUACAUAAAUAAAUGUGGUUUAAUUCUUCACUCACAAGAAAGGGGAAGGAAAAGAUUUCUUAGUGUCCCAGGCCCUGUCACUAAGACCCCUCCCAAUGUGGAGAACAGGCUUAUUUGCGAGAACACCUUCAGUCCCUCAGCUGAGGGCCAUGGCCUUCAACAUUGCAGGAAUUCCCAUGGUGGCCAGCAGACGGCGUGCGAGCACCACAAACCCUGGGGGCAGGCUCCUCUCUAUGCACGGUAAUUGCCGGCAGAGGGCGCCCCAUCGGCUUUUCUGACCCAGGGCACCUCAGAGCAGGAAGGGCUUCUGUUGCUCCCAGAGCACUCAGGGCCUCUGCCCUUGCCUGAGGACAGAGACCAGAGCUGCGUUUCCAGCUGGUUCUGCUGCCCUCUCCAGGAGAGACCUUGGGAGCCUUGCAGUAACUUGGUGUCUCCUGAGUCGCCAGAGAGAAGCUGCCUUGUUGCACUGAGUGUUGAGGAGAGGGCCCUGGGUGGCUUCCCUGGGCACUGGCCAGUCGGUCAGCAGCACAGGCCCUUGCAUUUUGUGGGCUGUUCCCGUGUUUCAUUCCUCACUUUCCCGGACAGUAUUUGAACAAGACGUAUUUUAUUAAAGGACCUGUGGAUCGAGGGGUCUCACGACAUCACAUCAUGGAUGCCGUGGAUGGUUUGCUCCAGAUUCAGGCUGGUUUCCAGGGAGAAAUCCUGACAGAAAUUCAGAAGACCGGGAGCUGCAUUCAGUUAGGAUGUGAAGACAUGAAAUAUUCGUCUCAGGACCGUCUAGAAGAAUGAGCUGGGACCCACUUUCCGAGUCCUGCUGGAACCAAAGACCGAGAUAUUGCCCAGGUGUCUGAAUGCCUGCACUGGGGUACCUCCUCUUCUGAUGGACUGGAUUCCCCUGCCAGCUGAUUCUUCUUUGCCGCCAGUUCACACUGUGUCAUUUUCAGCUUCCUAAGAUGGGAAAGACAUAUACACAGUCCAGGAGCCAAGGUCCACAAAUUCUGCCUUUUUACCUCCCAGCACUCUUGAAGGCCUAGAUACAAAUACCUUUCCCCCACCUCUCCCAUAAAUGCACAGACUGACAACACAGUCAGAGAAAUGAACUGAACACCCCAUUUAAGUUAAAGAAAAUUCAACCUCUGUCUGCUGCCAUGUCUCUGCUGUCAGACCUGUUUCCUCUCCUUCAUCAUAAAGUCAUCAAAUAACAUUGCACUUUGUGCCUUCCCAGAGCUGAACUUUGGUUUGAGAUGGUGAAGGCUCAUUUCAGUUCAGUGUCAAAAACCUUGUCUGACCACCCAUACCCAUUAGGAUGAACCAAGGGAUCAUCACUAGUCUCACACCUCCUUGGGGAGCCCUGAUUCUCAGUCCAGAAGUUAUACCCUGACACAGACAAUCACGCUGAAAGACGACCUUCCAGGAUAUGGCUUCCCCAACAUUGCAGCUCACUCCCAGACAUUGCUAGAGUCAGGAGUACAACCCCUGCGUCCACCUUCACAUAUCCUGGUGGAGGAAAAGGCCAAUCUUAGAGCAGCAACAUCACCUGAGGUAGAACCUGAUAUGAACUGUCACACAGUCUGGGUUUAUCUCCAGGAAACAGAUUUCAGAUGGAAAACUAUCAACUUCAUGGAGCCAAUGUACUUGAAGAAGACUCAGUUCAUUGACAGUGAAGGCAGCAAAGGGAAAUGCUUAGAAAGGCUGGUUUGCUGUGUUGCCCUCAGACUAUUUUGUUCAUGGUGUUGCUUUAAAGGGUUUUAACUUGGUACUGGAUGUAUUCAAGAGUCACAUGCAAAAUUGAAAGACUCCUAGAAACGGACACAAAACCUCUAGACAGAGAAAGGCACAUGCAUUUCCUUCCGGCAUCUCAGGCAGUCCUUCAACAAAUGCUUUCUGGAGUGGCUGGAAUGUAGUGGUUCUGUUGUAAGGGAUUGAAAAUAGAAAGGUGGCCAGGGUGCUGUACAUGCUCCCCAAAAGAGCUUAGAAAUGAUAAAAACAAGAUGCCAGUGAGACAGAGCAGGCUCCACCCCAGGUGUGGGAAGGACUAACAGAAGCUGAGUCUCCAGGGAAGAGAAGGAAGUAUUUCCUUUUCAAUGUGAAUGAGGGACUCUAAAGGCCCUGAUCUCCUCCUGAGAACAAAAGGAAAUACUGUACAAAGGAGGAAACAUGUGAGCGAAUGCACCAAAUUUCUAAUGACCCCAUGAAGACACAUGUGACCAAGAUGGAGAAGAAGGAAGCCCAGGACAAAGCCAGCCUGGCAGUGGGAACCAAUCUCCCCAGGACUCAUCAAUGAACUUGGGGAUAGAAAACUGAACUGCAAAAUAGCUGAACAACUUUAUGGGCACAGACUUAGAAGGAAAUGUGUUUAGUUCAGAGGCAGCCAGCAAAGAUGAGCCCUAGUGAAGCUGCGGGCUUUGGUCAAGACUCAGAGGAGUUUCGCUUCAAAAAUCAGGGGACAGGAAAUAGCUUCCUUAGGGAUUGGCCUGCUGUGAACAAUCUCACUAGCAGAACUGAUGCAGGGAUCCAGUACUACUGGCACCCCUACCCCCUUUCCAGAAAUAAAUUUCUGUGGUUUCUGCA